UUAUUACUCCCUCCGUCCCAAAAUUCUUGUCUUAGAUUAGUCUAGAAAUGGAUGUAUCUAAUACUAAAACGUGACUUGAUACAUCCGUAUUUAGACAAAUCUAAGACAAGAUUUUGGGAUGGAGCGAGUAACUU
Molecule: non-coding RNA, 134 nt
Organism: Triticum aestivum (bread wheat)
Lineage: Eukaryota; Viridiplantae; Streptophyta; Magnoliopsida; Poales; Poaceae
Source: Rfam